UACGUAGGGGGCAAGCGUUGGCCGGAUUUAUUGGGCGUAAAGCGCGUGUAGGCGGCCAGGUAGGUCCGCUGUGAAAACCCGAGGCUCAACCUCGGGACGUCGGCGGAAACCAUCUGGCUAGAGUCCGGAAGAGGAGAGUGGAAUUCCCGGUGUAGCGGUGAAAUGCGCAGAUAUCAGGAAGAACACCCGUGGCGAAGGCGGUUCUCUGGGACGGUACUGACGCUGAGACGCGAAAGCGUGGGGAGCGAACAGG
This 253-nucleotide ribosomal RNA is filed under the name uncultured bacterium. RNAcentral's name for it is "partial 16S ribosomal RNA". It matches the Rfam family "Bacterial small subunit ribosomal RNA", at positions 524 to 776 of the family's 1533-position model. The record is from RNAcentral.